This is a long non-coding RNA of Ictalurus furcatus (blue catfish), 529 nucleotides long. RefSeq lists it as uncharacterized. The transcript is spliced from 4 exons. Lineage: Eukaryota; Metazoa; Chordata; Actinopteri; Siluriformes; Ictaluridae. The record is from RefSeq and is a predicted model, not a curated record.
AAUGUUGUUCAAAUGUAAGGAUGUUUCGGGUAGAUCAUGUGAUUUUAAGAAAUCGACGCGCACGUGACCAGUACAUGUUCAGCUCGGUACUUUCGGUUUAAAUCCCGGGAGACACCCUACUACUCAGGCUUUGAGGGCGUUACCUCUGAAGGAGUAACAGCAGAGCUUUCACAUACUCUUAUCUGCUUCUGACGCAGGACCGAAGUAUAAGCUUAAAACUGCUAAGGACACUGAAAUCAUGACAGAUCACGAUCCAGAAGAUGAAAUGGACACAGAAGACAUCACCAAUUUCAGUAGCUAUGAACACACAGAUGAGACCAUUACAAGUGUGGAAAACCAAAUGAUAUCAGGAAAUUACGAGGAUAAUAAAGACACACAGAAGAACUCACUGACAUCGCAAGCUGGAAUAAACUGUCCCACAACAUCCAGACAUUCCCAAGCUGAUGAGCAUGAAGGGUUGAAAAGGGUUGCUGUUAUUUAUACAGAAAUGUCCAGAGUAGCUCCUGAACACAACCAAGCUGAUGGUAGU